RNAcentral lists this ribosomal RNA (329 nucleotides) under uncultured eukaryote. RNAcentral's name for it is "partial 18S ribosomal RNA". It matches the Rfam family "Eukaryotic small subunit ribosomal RNA", at positions 1470 to 1796 of the family's 1831-position model. The record is from RNAcentral.
CCCUUAGAUGUUCUGGGCCGCACGCGCGCUACACUGAUGCAUUCAACGAGUCUAAAACCUGCUCUGAUAGGGGUGGGUAAUCUUUUGAAUGUGCAUCGUGAUUGGGAUAGAUGAUUGCAAUUUUUCAUCCUCAACGAGGAAUGCCUAGUAAACGCAAGUCAUCAGCUUGCAUUGAUUACGUCCCUGCCCUUUGUACACACCGCCCGUCGCUCCUACCGAUUGAAUGAUCCGAUGAAUAUCAUGGAUUGAGGAUGCAAGUAGGUUCGCCUAUCUUCAUCUUCGAGAAGUGAAGUAAAUCUUAUCAUUUAGAGGGAGGAGAAGUCGUAACA